CGUGUAGGCUGCUCCGAAAGUCGGAUGUGAAAGCCCUGGGCUCAACCUAGGAAGUGCAUUCGAAACUUCGGAGCUGGAGUCCUGGAGAGGAAGGCGGAAUUCUCGGUGUAGAGGUGAAAUUCGUAGAUAUCGAGAGGAACACCGGUGGCGAAGGCGGCCUUCUGGACAGUGACUGACGCUGAGACGCGAAAGCGUGGGGAGCAAACA
This 207-nucleotide ribosomal RNA is filed under the name uncultured delta proteobacterium. RNAcentral describes it as "partial 16S ribosomal RNA". It matches the Rfam family "Bacterial small subunit ribosomal RNA", at positions 568 to 774 of the family's 1533-position model. The record is from RNAcentral. Lineage: Bacteria; Deltaproteobacteria.